RNAcentral lists this ribosomal RNA (468 nucleotides) under uncultured bacterium. RNAcentral's name for it is "partial 16S ribosomal RNA". It matches the Rfam family "Bacterial small subunit ribosomal RNA", at positions 28 to 507 of the family's 1533-position model. The record is from RNAcentral.
GACGAACGCUGGCGGCGUGCUUAACACAUGCAAGUCGAACGGAAAGGCCCUGCUUUUGUUGGGUGCUCGAUUGGCGAACGGGUGAGUAACACGUGAGUAACCUGCCCUUGACUUUGGGAUAACUUCAGGAAACUGGGGCUAAUACCGGAUAGGAUCUCCUGCUGCAUGGUGGGGGUUGGAAAGUUUCGGCGGUUGGGGAUGGACUCGCGGCUUAUCCGCUUGUUGGUGGGGUAGUGGCUUACCAAGGCUUUGACGGGUAGCCGGCCUGAGAGGGUGAACGGGCACAUUGGGACUGAGAUACGGCCCAGAAUCCUACGGGAGGCAGCAGUGGGGAAUAUUGCACAAUGGGCGGAAGCCUGAUGCAGCAACGCCGCGUGCGGGAUGACGGCCUUCGGGUUGUAAACCGCUUUCGCAUGUGACGAAGCGUGAGUGACGGUAAUGGGUAAAGAAGCACCGGCUAACUACGUG